GAUGACUAAAUCAGAGAAGGACCACAUAAUCCAAGGAUAGGGACAAGGGAAGAGGAUGCUCUGCCAAACUGCCCCUGCUGCGUCAUAGUGGACCAGUUUCAAUGAUCCAGACUGUCAGUCACCCCAUCCAGCCUCAUCCUCAUCUGGACCCGUUUCUGACCACCCAAUCAGUUUCAAUGAUCCAAACUGUCAGUCACCCCAUCCAGCCUCAUCUGGACCAGUUUCUGACGACCCAAUCAGUUUCAAUGAUCCAGACUGUCAGUCACCCCAUCCAGCCUCAUCCUCAUCUGGACCCGUUUCUGACCAACCACCCAAUCAGUUUCAAUGAUCCAGACUGUCAGUCACCCCAUCCAGCCUCAGCCUCAUCCUCAUCUGGACCCAUUUCUGAAGACCUAAUCAGUUUCAAUGAUCCAGACUGUCAGUCACCCCAUCCAGCCUCAUCUGGACCAGUUUCCGACGACCCAAUCUGUUUCAAUGAUCUGGACACUGUCAGUCACCCCAUCCAGCCUCAUCCCAGCUCUUAACUCCUUCUGCAUAGUUCAGUUUCCUUUCUGGCAACUAAUUCCCAAUUUCCUAGAAAACCCUGAUUUUCUGAUUUAACACUGAUUCGAAUCCACUUUAAACCAAAGGAAACAGGCCGGGCGUGGUGGCUCACGCCUAUAAUCCCAGCACUCUGGGAGGCCGAGGCAGGUGGAUCACCUGAGGUCAGGAGUUCAAGACCAGCCUGGCCAACAUGGUGAAAUCCCAUCUCUACUAAAAAUACAAAAAAAAAAAAAAAAAAAAAAAAAUUAGCUGGGUGUAGUGGCACAUGCCUGUGAUCCCAGCUACUCGGG
Molecule: long non-coding RNA, 833 nt
Filed under: Pan troglodytes (chimpanzee)
Lineage: Eukaryota; Metazoa; Chordata; Mammalia; Primates; Hominidae
Description: long non-coding RNA NONPTRT011758
Source: RNAcentral